Molecule: non-coding RNA, 94 nt
Filed under: uncultured Eubacterium sp.
Lineage: Bacteria; Bacillati; Bacillota; Clostridia; Eubacteriales; Eubacteriaceae
Description: SAM riboswitch (S box leader)
Rfam family: SAM riboswitch aptamer (S box leader)
About the family: The SAM riboswitch is found upstream of a number of genes which code for proteins involved in methionine or cysteine biosynthesis in Gram-positive bacteria.
Source: RNAcentral
UCUUAUCAAGAGUGGUUUAGGGACAGGCCCAUUGAUACCACAGCAACCUGCUCAGUGCAAGGUGCUAAUUCCUGCGGUUUUACCGGAUGAUGAG